RNAcentral lists this ribosomal RNA (895 nucleotides) under Weissella cibaria. RNAcentral describes it as "bacterial SSU rRNA". It matches the Rfam family "Bacterial small subunit ribosomal RNA", at positions 23 to 872 of the family's 1533-position model. Lineage: Bacteria; Bacillati; Bacillota; Bacilli; Lactobacillales; Lactobacillaceae. The record is from RNAcentral.
GUCAGGAUGAACGCUGGCGGCGUGCCUAAUACAUGCAAGUCGAACGCUUUGUGGUUCAACUGAUUUGAAGAGCUUGCUCAGAUAUGACGAUGGACAUUGCAAAGAGUGGCGAACGGGUGAGUAACACGUGGGAAACCUACCUCUUAGCAGGGGAUAACAUUUGGAAACAGAUGCUAAUACCGUAUAACAAUAGCAACCGCAUGGUUGCUACUUAAAAGAUGGUUCUGCUAUCACUAAGAGAUGGUCCCGCGGUGCAUUAGUUAGUUGGUGAGGUAAUGGCUCACCAAGACGAUGAUGCAUAGCCGAGUUGAGAGACUGAUCGGCCACAAUGGGACUGAGACACGGCCCAUACUCCUACGGGAGGCAGCAGUAGGGAAUCUUCCACAAUGGGCGAAAGCCUGAUGGAGCAACGCCGCGUGUGUGAUGAAGGGUUUCGGCUCGUAAAACACUGUUGUAAGAGAAGAAUGACAUUGAGAGUAACUGUUCAAUGUGUGACGGUAUCUUACCAGAAAGGAACGGCUAAAUACGUGCCAGCAGCCGCGGUAAUACGUAUGUUCCAAGCGUUAUCCGGAUUUAUUGGGCGUAAAGCGAGCGCAGACGGUUAUUUAAGUCUGAAGUGAAAGCCCUCAGCUCAACUGAGGAAUUGCUUUGGAAACUGGAUGACUUGAGUGCAGUAGAGGAAAGUGGAACUCCAUGUGUAGCGGUGAAAUGCGUAGAUAUAUGGAAGAACACCAGUGGCGAAGGCGGCUUUCUGGACUGUAACUGACGUUGAGGCUCGAAAGUGUGGGUAGCAAACAGGAUUAGAUACCCUGGUAGUCCACACCGUAAACGAUGAGUGCUAGGUGUUUGAGGGUUUCCGCCCUUAAGUGCCGCAGCUAACGCAUAAGCACUCCGC